Molecule: ribosomal RNA, 777 nt
Filed under: uncultured Neocallimastigales
Lineage: Eukaryota; Fungi; Neocallimastigomycota; Neocallimastigomycetes; Neocallimastigales
Description: partial large subunit ribosomal RNA
Rfam family: Eukaryotic large subunit ribosomal RNA
Source: RNAcentral
CGUCUAUAUACGUAUAGCAUAUCAAUAAGCGGAGGAAAAGAAACUAACUAGGAUUCCCUUAGUAACGGCGAGUGAAGCGGGAAGAGCUCAAAUUUGAAAUCUUCAAGGUUUUACCUUGACGAAUUGUAGUUUAAAGAAGUGUUUUCUGUUGGAGUUUUGGUAAAAGUUCUUUGGAAAAGGACAUCAUAGGAGGGUGAGAAUCCCGUAUUUGACCAUUAUCUCCAGCUUUGUGAUACACUUUCAAAGAGUCGGAUUGUUUGGGAAUGCAGUCCGAAAUGGGUGGUAAAUUUCAUCUAAAGCUAAAUACUGGCGAGAGACCGAUAGCGAACAAGUACCGUGAGGGAAAGAUGAAAAGAACUUUGAAAAGAGAGUUAAACAGUACGUGAAAUUGUCAAAAGGGAAGCGUUUGACACCAGUGUUGUUUUCUCGAAAAUCAAUUAAAAAAGGCCGGAUUUUGUGUUGUAUGGACUUUAUCAGCUUUCUGCACUCCUUUCUUACUACUUUCUUAAUGCACUUUUCGUUUAACAAGUCAACAUCAAUUUCUUUUGUUGUAAAAGGGUAUGAGGAAGGUGGCUUUCUUUUCGGAGAAAGUGUUUAUAGCCUUGUGCCUCUGCAAUCGGAGAGAUUGAGGUCUGCAGCGUAGAUCCUUCGGGGUUAGAUACAUUUGUGCUAAGUUAUAGCCUUUCAUAGACAACUUGUUGACUAUGAUCAGUCAUGUAGCUUACUCGCUUAUGCUAUUUUACCUACGCUUAGGAUGUUGAAGUCAUCGUAUCGCGC